AGGAAAAAAAAGAAAUGAGGACAUCGCAGAGGACACAUUUACUUCAGUAGUUGAAGGCUGUCUCAUAUGAUAAGCAUCAUAACCUAUGAAACUCUGUCACAUCCUAGAACCAUGGUGCUGGACAACAGAACAAAUACUGAUUAGCCAUUGGUGACUGAAAUUCUGGCUCCAUCCCAAGACAGUCUUCCAGUGAGUGAAGCUACAUAAGAGCAUUGCUAGAAGGGCUCACAGCAGUAGAAGGAGAAUGCUCUGCAGUGAUGCAGGGUAAUCAAGGUGUUGGAUGAGACCCCA
This is a long non-coding RNA of Corvus hawaiiensis (hawaiian crow), 291 nucleotides long. RefSeq lists it as uncharacterized. The transcript is spliced from 3 exons. The record is from RefSeq and is a predicted model, not a curated record. NCBI's taxonomy places the organism in Eukaryota, Metazoa, Chordata, Aves, Passeriformes, Corvidae.